CCUACGGGAGGCAGCAGUGGGGAAUAUUGCUCAAUGGGCGAAAGUCUGACGCAGCGACGCCGCGUGAGGGAUGAAGGUCUUCUGAUCUUAAACCUCUGUCUGCAGGGAAGAACGGUCACUUUGCUAAUCCGCAGUGAAUUGACGGUACCUGCAAAGGAAGCACCGGCUAAUUCCGUGCCAGCAGCAGCGGUAAUAGGGAGGGUGCGUGCGUUAAUUGGAAUUACUUGGCGUAAAGCGCGCGUAGGCGGUAUGUCAAGGCAAGGGUGAAGUCCCAGGGCUCAACGGGGGAACUGCCUUUGAAACUGGCAAACUGGAGUGUGGUAGAGGAUAGUGGAAUUCCAGGGGUAGGAGUGAAAGCCGUAGAUAUCUGGAGGAACAUCAGUUGCGAAGGCGACUAUCUGGCACAUAACUGACGCUGAGGAGCGAAAGCGUGGGUAGCAAACAGGAUUAGAUACCCUAGUAGUC
This 465-nucleotide ribosomal RNA is filed under the name uncultured bacterium. Its description in RNAcentral is "partial 16S ribosomal RNA". It matches the Rfam family "Bacterial small subunit ribosomal RNA", at positions 338 to 795 of the family's 1533-position model. The record is from RNAcentral.